RNAcentral lists this ribosomal RNA (207 nucleotides) under uncultured bacterium. RNAcentral describes it as "partial 16S ribosomal RNA". It matches the Rfam family "Bacterial small subunit ribosomal RNA", at positions 568 to 775 of the family's 1533-position model. The record is from RNAcentral.
CGUGUAGGCUGUUUUGCAAGUCGGGUGUGAAAGCCCGGGGCUCAACCUCGGAAGUGCAUUCGAAACUGCAAGACUGGAGUAUCGGAGAGGGUCGCGGAAUUCUGGGUGUAGAGGUGAAAUUCGUAGAUAUCCAGAGGAACACCAGUGCGAAGGCGGCGACCUGGACGAUUACUGACGCUGAGACGCGAAAGCGUGGGGAGCAAACAG